CUCCUGGACUCAAGCGAUUCUCCUGCCUCAGGCUCCCAAGACUAUAGCGCUUGUGUAAUCAGAGAUAGGGCAGCCUGGAUUCCUGGACAGCAGGAGGAGAGACCUCAGGGUUCUACAAGACUCCACAGACCAAGUUAUCAGUGAUCAGGGAAAUUGAGGAUCAGGAGGCGCAGUGACCUGCUCCAGGUCAUGCAGAAGGAACCACCUCUGACUCCCAGCGCCCUGUUUGUCUUCCGGAGCGCUGGGGCCAGGCGGAGGAAAGUAGCUGGGAGCAAGAAGGGCUGGCAGGGCCCUGAGCGCCGAGAUGGGGAGUGAGGUGGGGAGGGCGGGAUGCUCCUUCCCUUCUCCGCAAAGGAACCCCUUCUGAUUCCGACUCUGGAGCUCCAGAGACCGGAUCCGAGACGCGGGUGGAGGUGGAGUUACACUCGCCUGCAGCCCUGAGGGUGUAAAUGGCCCAUUAAGAUCCAGGUUAAAUCAACCUAUGGAGCUGCCCCCCAGAGGGUCAGGGUCCCCACAACUUGACGGGGGUCCUCAGCCGUCUCCUCCC
RNAcentral lists this long non-coding RNA (547 nucleotides) under Homo sapiens (human). RNAcentral's name for it is "HSALNT0384394". The record is from RNAcentral. Lineage: Eukaryota; Metazoa; Chordata; Mammalia; Primates; Hominidae.